This is a long non-coding RNA of Amphiprion ocellaris (clown anemonefish), 945 nucleotides long. Lineage: Eukaryota; Metazoa; Chordata; Actinopteri; Pomacentridae. The record is from Ensembl.
GUCCUUCAAGUAGUUUUUUAAAAGGGUACUUCAGAAAGUUCUUGGCCUCACCUAGAAACAAGGUUUGCAACUGCAUAACUGUAAAUUAUUAAGCUUUAUGUCAUAUAUAGCAGCACUUGUCCCCCCCAAAAGAAAGAAAAUCAUCAAUUAGGUGGUCAGAAAAGUAACAUUUAACAUUUUUUUCCCCUAUGAAUUCAACUAAUAUUUUAUGAAGAUACUUCAAAAAAGUUCUCGCCUCACCCAGAAAGAAGGUAACGCCUUUCGAAAAUCAUGAGACUGAAACCAGCUGACGUCUAUGGUUUACACUAUGUACUGGACAGACACGCUGCAGUGAAUGGCCUCCACUUGAUCGAUUUUGGAUGUCUUGACUGUGGAUCAUCUCUUCUUCUUCUGCUUAAGCUCAGCCAACCCACUUCUUUAGCAAGCCUCACCCUAACUGAUCGAGGCAGAUGACCCCCUCCUUGAGCCUGGUUCUGCUGGAGGUUUCUUCCUGUUAAAGGCCUCCGUUGACUCGUCCCGCCUGCCGUCUCUGGAGCUGAAGCUGGAUUGGAACAGACCAAAGUACAGUCCAAUCACGAUGCCAGCUGCCUCUCAAAAGGCUCCUUCAUCUGGCAGGUGGCGCCACUUCUUCUGAGGGGAAGCUGAGCUGGCCCGGCAGAACUUUGGAGAUGUGUUCCAGUGGUUGGUGGAUGUGUGGGGAGAUAGAGAGGGACCUUUGAAUUGUUCAGAAAGGAAAACAGGGAACCCAUUGGUAGUUUUAGUUUAGGGUGCUACUGCGGUGUGUUUUUGGGCUUGAAGAGGUGAACAGGAAGAGUUUUUUUUCUGUAUUGAUUAUCUUUUACUUUGUUGCUGGUUGGAAUGCCCAUCAAUGUCAACAUGAAGUUCACUUUUAGUUCUGUUUAUUUAUUUUUAUUUUACUAACACUCAUUUGUUUUUAACCCCCUC